AGGCUAUGAAGCUGUCACGCUAGUGAUGGUGGAGCCGACGUUGAAAUACCACCUUUAUUACUUAGAUACUAACUGGUCGCAAUGACUAGGACCCUGUUUGGUGGGGUAGUUUGACUGGGGUGGUCGCCUCCUAAAGAGUAACGGAGGCUUCCAAAGGUACCCUCAGCAUGGACGGUAAUCAUGCGAAGAGCGUAUUAGUAUAAGGGUGCUUGACUGCGAGACCGACAAGUCGAGCAGGUAGGAAACUAGGGUAAAAGUGAUCCGGUGGUUCUGUAUGGAAGGGCCAUCGCUCAAAGGAUAAAAGGUACUCCGGAUAACAGGCUGAUCUCCCCCAAGAGCUCAUAUCGACGGGGAGGUUUGGCACCUCGAUGUCGGCUCGUCACAUCCUGGGGCUGGAGAAGGUCCCAAGGGUUGGGCUGUUCGCCCAUUAAAGUGGCACGCGAGCUGGGUUCAGAACGUCGCAAGACGGUUCGGUCCCUAUCUGUUGUGGGCGC
This 494-nucleotide ribosomal RNA is filed under the name uncultured bacterium. RNAcentral describes it as "bacterial LSU rRNA". It matches the Rfam family "Bacterial large subunit ribosomal RNA", at positions 2152 to 2654 of the family's 2925-position model. The record is from RNAcentral.